This 257-nucleotide ribosomal RNA is filed under the name uncultured bacterium. RNAcentral's name for it is "partial 16S ribosomal RNA". It matches the Rfam family "Bacterial small subunit ribosomal RNA", at positions 524 to 776 of the family's 1533-position model. The record is from RNAcentral.
UACGUAGGGCGCAAGCGUUAUCCGGAAUUAUUGGGCGUAAAGAGCUCGUAGGCGGUUUGUCGCGUCUGCCGUGAAAGUCCGGGGCUCAACUCCGGAUCUGCGGUGGGUACGGGCAGACUAGAGUGGAUGUAGGGGAGACUGGAAUUCCUGGUGUAGCGGUGAAAUGCGCAGAUAUCAGGAGGAACACCGAUGGCGAAGGCAGGUCUCUGGGGCAUUAACUGACGCUGAGGAGCGAAAAGCAUGGGGGAGCGAACAGG